Molecule: ribosomal RNA, 450 nt
Filed under: uncultured bacterium
Lineage: Bacteria
Description: partial 16S ribosomal RNA
Rfam family: Bacterial small subunit ribosomal RNA
Source: RNAcentral
AACGAACGCUGGCGGCAGGCCUCAUACAUGCAAGUCUAACGGGUGUAGCAAUACAUCAGUGGCGCACGGGAGAGUGACGCGUGGGAAUAUGCCCUUGACUACGGAACAACCUCGGGAAACUGAGGCUAAUACCGUAUAAUGUCUCCGGACCAAAGAUUUAUCGGUCAAGGAUUAGCCCGCGUCUGAUAGGUAGUUGGUGGGGUAACGGCUCACCAAGCCUACGAUCAGUAGCUCGUCUGAGAGGAUGAUGAGCCACACGGGGACUGAGACACGGCCCAGACUCCUGCGGGAGGCAGCAGUAAGGAAUAUUAGACAAUGGGAGAAACCCUGAUCCAGCCAUGCCGCGUGAGUGAAGAAGGCCUUCGGGUUGUAAAGCUCUUUUACCCCUGACGAUAAUGACGGUAAGGGGAGAAAAAGCCGCGGCUAACUUCGUGCCAGCCGCCGCAGUAA